UACGUAGGCAGCGAGCGUUGUUCGGAGUUCCUGGGCGUAAAGGGUGUGUAGGCGGUUUUCUAAGUUUGGUGUGAAAUCUCCCGGCUUAACCGGGAGGGUGCGCCGAAAACUGGGAGACUAGAGUGCGGGAUGGGAGAGUAGAAUUCCUGGUGUAGCGGUGAAAUGCGUAGAUAUCAGGAGGAAUACCGGUGGUGCAGACGGCUCUCUGGACCGCAACUGACGCUGAGACACGAAAGCGUGGGUAGCAAACAGG
This 253-nucleotide ribosomal RNA is filed under the name uncultured bacterium. RNAcentral's name for it is "partial 16S ribosomal RNA". It matches the Rfam family "Bacterial small subunit ribosomal RNA", at positions 524 to 776 of the family's 1533-position model. The record is from RNAcentral.